Cinara cedri is the source of this 267-nucleotide non-coding RNA. The record is from the annotation of a GenBank genome assembly. NCBI's taxonomy places the organism in Eukaryota, Metazoa, Arthropoda, Insecta, Hemiptera, Aphididae.
UGUGUAUAUAUAUUUUAUUCAGCGGUUUUUAGGGCCUAUACGUUUUGGCCUUAUUUUUGACUAUUCGGUACGCGAGAGUCCGAUAACCCGAAUGCACACUUUGUUCCCAUCACAAACUGUUAUUGUACUUUCUAGUUUCUAAUAAAACGUUAUCAAUAUUAUAGAUUGAACAUAUUGUAUGUUAUUAUUUAAAAACGAAUUAACCGUUGACUUGUAUGUUAUUUAUUGCGACCUUAUAACCACGCAAGUCCAUAAUAUAAUAUAUUA